CUUUGGCCCACAGCCAUUCCUAUAAAGCCAGUUACGGACUAGGGGCUGCGAAGGUUUCAAGGCCCCCCUAGGAAGCCUGAAUGAUCUAAACGGGUAAUGAGAAUAUUUUGAGUUGGUUUCAAGGCUACCCUCGGCCUGACAUCCAAGAGAGGCUCAGCAGCUGCACUUGUGUUUGGAUGGACUAUUUUCAUUUCUUUUACAGUGAGCUGGUUUAUCAGCUUAUGUAUUACGGAAGAACUGAGGCAUGUCUGCAAUUAAUGAGAGGAUUCUUUCGGGCAAGUGAGCACAUGCCCAGUCUGUAAUGCAAUUUAUGUCUUGUUAGCAACUUCACCGUGUGUCUCUAGUGUGGAUUCUUCAUACAAGUAAUCGUGCCUGUAUCACAUUACUUAUGUAUAUUGUAUCGUUUCUGCUCUUAUCUAUGGGGUUGCAAUAAAAUGUUGAGUAUAAAAUCUUGUUUCGUAAUGUGUGUGUAGAGAAGUACAUGUGUAUGUCUGUAGAGAAGUACAUGUGUGUGUUUGUGUAGAGAAGUGUGUGUGUAGAGAAUAUACAUGUGGGUGUGUGUAGAGAAGCACAUACGUGUACUUCUCUACACGUAUGUACUUCUCUACACACACCCACGUACAUACGUGGGUGUGUGUAGAGAAGUACAUACGCGUGUUUGCGUAGAGAAGUACAUACGUGUGUGUAGAGAAGUACGUGUGCGUAGAGAAGUGUGUGUGUGUAGAGAAGUGUGUAGAGAAGUACAUGUAUGUAUGUGUGUAGAGAAGUACAUACUUGUGCAAAUAAAACAUAAAAGGGUUUGUCUCCCAAAAAACAAUUCUUGCAUAAAGAAUUAAAAUGUAGUUAUAGGGGCUUUUAAAGUUGGUUCUAAAUGUAAUUACUAUUAAAAGCAGUAUCUGACCCCAACAAUGUUCCAAGUGACUUGUAUAAAAAAAUAAGCUGGAGGAGGCCAGACUCUUGUUAGACCUGGAGAACAGAAACCCUGCUCAUCACAUUAGUUACAUUUGCCUGGAAAGUUGCUUAGAGUUCCUUUUUUUGAAAUGCGGCAUUCCUUUAUCUCCUGGAGGUGCCUGGCUUGUGAGAA
This is a long non-coding RNA of Xenopus laevis (African clawed frog), 1084 nucleotides long. RefSeq lists it as uncharacterized. NCBI's taxonomy places the organism in Eukaryota, Metazoa, Chordata, Amphibia, Anura, Pipidae. The transcript is spliced from 2 exons. The record is from RefSeq and is a predicted model, not a curated record.